AGCGAACGCUGGCGGCAGGCCUAACACAUGCAAGUCGAACGAACCUUUCGGGGUUAGUGGCGGACGGGUGAGUAACACGUGGGAACGUGCCUUUAGGUUCGGAAUAACUCAGGGAAACUUGUGCUAAUACCGAAUGUGCCCUUCGGGGGAAAGAUUAAUCGCCUUUAGAGCGGCCCGCGUCUGAUUAGCUAGUUGGUUGAGGUAAUGGCACACCAAGGCGACGUUCAGUAGCUGGUCUGAGAGGAUGUUCAGCCACAUUGGGACUGAGACACGGCCCAAACUCCUACGGGAGGCAGCAGUGGGGAAUCUUGCGCAAUGGGGGAAAGCCUGACGCAGCCAUGCCGCGUGAAUGAUGAAGGUCUUAGGAUUGUAAAAUUCUUUCACCGGGGACGAUAAUGACGGUACCCGGAGAAGAAGCCCCGGCUAACUUCGUG
Molecule: ribosomal RNA, 434 nt
Filed under: uncultured bacterium
Lineage: Bacteria
Description: partial 16S ribosomal RNA
Rfam family: Bacterial small subunit ribosomal RNA
Source: RNAcentral